UCUAGUAUUGUGAGAAAGAGAGAAAAAUGUCUCUCUGUCAACAUUUUCUAUCCCAUGCAUAAUUUUGUAGACUUCAAUCAUAUCCCCCCCUCAGACGUCUCCUCUCCAAACAGAUGACCUUUCUGUGUAAAGCAGACUUUAUGUGUAAAGAAGCUCAACAGAUUAAUAGUAAUAGGAGUUUUGGUCUUCAAAUAUUUUUGUAUUUUUGGUCUUCAAAUAAACAGCUUUUGAACAAAA
Molecule: long non-coding RNA, 237 nt
Organism: Sphaerodactylus townsendi
Lineage: Eukaryota; Metazoa; Chordata; Lepidosauria; Squamata; Sphaerodactylidae
Exons: 2
Source: RefSeq, a predicted model, not a curated record